Molecule: ribosomal RNA, 309 nt
Filed under: uncultured bacterium
Lineage: Bacteria
Description: bacterial SSU rRNA
Rfam family: Bacterial small subunit ribosomal RNA
Source: RNAcentral
GACGAACGCUGGCGGCGUGCUUAACACAUGCAAGUCGAGCGGUAAGGCCCUUUCGGGGGUACGACGAGCGGCGAACGGGUGAGUAACACGUGGGUGACCUGCCCUUAGCUCUGGGAUAAGCCUGGGAAACUGGGGUCUAAAUACCGGAUAUGACUCCAUGACGCAUGUUGUGGGGUGGAAAGCCUUGUGCGGCUAGGGAUGGGCCCGCGGCCUAUCAGCUUGUUGGUGGGGUGAUGGCCUACCAAGGCGACGACGGGUAGCCGGCCUGAGAGGGCGACCGGCCACACUGGGACUGGAGACACGGCCCAG